CAGAAUGGAUGGCUUGGCGGAAGAAAUAUUAAGCAUGUCACAAUGUUUUGUACUCUAUCUUGUGAAAUGGAGACAAAAACCUCAAACAACUACAUUGAAUAAAUGUUGGCUAAAAAUGAUGGCUAUGGAACUAAUUAGAAAAAGAUCUCCAACACCCAAAAGGAAAAGACGUAAAUAAUGAGGGAAUUUCUGAAUUGAGGACGCAUGGAGUCACUGACUCCCCGUGACUGGAUGAAAGCUGGGAUGCUUUUGUCUGGACACGUGGUACAGGAGAGCUCUGGCAUUAGUAUACCCCUCAAGGAAGGGUUAACUAUAGGGUUUGAAAAUCUCUUUGCAUCCAGCAAGCAACAACAUAACAUAUGGGUGAGCUGGUCACAGUAACAAAUACUUUUUCUUACAUUACCACUUCACAAGAAGCUUCUGAAAGAAAGCUUCAACUUCACACAGUCUUAACUUCAAGAAAAAGAGGAAUGGAAUUUUUCACAGCCUUACAUCGCCUGAGAAGCUACUCAGAAUGAAAUGUCACAGUUCUCCUUAGCACAAAAGCAAAUGUGGGAUAUAAUUGUUUGU
This is a long non-coding RNA of Pezoporus occidentalis (night parrot), 570 nucleotides long. RefSeq lists it as uncharacterized. Lineage: Eukaryota; Metazoa; Chordata; Aves; Psittaciformes; Psittacidae. The transcript has 2 exons. The record is from RefSeq and is a predicted model, not a curated record.